GUUGGGCAACUGCGUGGUAACUGG
Molecule: non-coding RNA, 24 nt
Filed under: Arabidopsis thaliana (thale cress)
Lineage: Eukaryota; Viridiplantae; Streptophyta; Magnoliopsida; Brassicales; Brassicaceae
Source: RNAcentral